UCUGUGGGAUCAGUGGCGAACGGGUGAGUAACACGUGAGCAACCUGCCCCUGACUCUGGGAUAAGCGCUGGAAACGGCGUCUAAUACUGGAUAUGUGACGUGACCGCAUGGUCUGCGUCUGGAAAGAAUUUCGGUUGGGGAUGGGCUCGCGGCCUAUCAGCUUGUUGGUGAGGUAAUGGCUCACCAAGGCGUCGACGGGUAGCCGGCCUGAGAGGGUGACCGGCCACACUGGGACUGAGACACGGCCCAGACUCCUACGGGAGGCAGCAGUGGGGAAUAUUGCACAAUGGGCGCAAGCCUGAUGCAGCAACGCCGCGUGAGGGACGACGGCCUUCGGGUUGUAAACCUCUUUUAGCAGGGAAGAAGCGAAAGUGACGGUACCUGCAGAAAAAGCGCCGGCUAACUACGUGCCAGCAGCCGCGGUAAUACGUAGGGCGCAAGCGUUAUCCGGAAUUAUUGGGCGUAAAGAGCUCGUAGGCGGUUUGUCGCGUCUGCUGUGAAAUCCGGAGGCUCAACCUCCGGCCUGCAGUGGGUACGGGCAGACUAGAGUGCGGUAGGGGAGAUUGGAAUUCCUGGUGUAGCGGUGGAAUGCGCAGAUAUCAGGAGGAACACCGAUGUCGAAGACAGAUCUCUG
This 634-nucleotide ribosomal RNA is filed under the name Microbacterium maritypicum. RNAcentral's name for it is "bacterial SSU rRNA". It matches the Rfam family "Bacterial small subunit ribosomal RNA", at positions 83 to 731 of the family's 1533-position model. Lineage: Bacteria; Bacillati; Actinomycetota; Actinomycetes; Micrococcales; Microbacteriaceae. The record is from RNAcentral.